Molecule: ribosomal RNA, 381 nt
Filed under: uncultured bacterium
Lineage: Bacteria
Description: bacterial SSU rRNA
Rfam family: Bacterial small subunit ribosomal RNA
Source: RNAcentral
AGGAAGGUAGUGUAGUUAACACCUGCAUUAUUGUACGUUACCUACAGAAGAAGACACCGGCUAACUCCGUCGCCAGCAGCCGCGGUAAGUACGGGAGGGUGCGAGCGUUAAGUACGGUAAUUACGUGGGACGUAAAGCGCAUGCAGGCGGCCUGUUAAGUCAGAUGUAGAAACGGCCCGGGGACCUUUAACCGUACGGUAAAUUGCUAUUUAGUAAACGUGGCGAGGCUAGAGUCUUGUAGAGGGGGGUAGGAAUUUCAGGUGUAGCGGUGAAAUGCGUAGAGAUCUGAAGGAAUACCAGUGGCGAAGGCGGCCCCCUGGACAAAGACUGACGCUCAGAUGCGAAAGCGUGGGGAGCAAACAGGAUUAGAUACCCUGGUAG